Molecule: ribosomal RNA, 22 nt
Filed under: Tetranychus evansi (red spider mite)
Lineage: Eukaryota; Metazoa; Arthropoda; Arachnida; Trombidiformes; Tetranychidae
Description: partial 5.8S ribosomal RNA
Source: RNAcentral
CAAAGAUACAUCUUCAAGCGGU